RNAcentral lists this long non-coding RNA (1165 nucleotides) under Lynx canadensis (Canada lynx). RNAcentral describes it as "lncRNA (ENSLCNG00005016484.1)". Lineage: Eukaryota; Metazoa; Chordata; Mammalia; Carnivora; Felidae. The record is from RNAcentral.
CCAGUGUUUCGGCGCUCCAGGGGUAGGUAGCCUUGCCCCUUGGCUCCUACUUGGAGUAAGCCCGGCAUGCCUGAACUGAGUUUAUUAUAACCCAAGGCACACCACUGCCCUCUCCCAAAGGUAAAGUUAACACAGGUCGAGUAUUAAACUGAGUCCUGAGACUCGGUCUACUUACACUCCUCCCCUCACCAGGGAGACACUCCCACAAUCUCUGGCGCAGAAAAGAAAGCGCGAAAAAGCUGACUCGAACCACCGAAACUUAUGGGAAAUGUAGUCCGCAGUCAGAAAAGUAGAGGACCGGCCAAUACCGACAGAUUCUGUCCGGUAUUGAGCCGGGGCUUGAUGGAGCCCAGGAGACCUCUGGGAGUGUUAAACCAGCCAAGGGAGUGCGCAGGCGCAGACUUUCUGGCUCGCCAUGGUCGUCUUUGUCUGCCGACCAGUUUCCUUGUGCAUCCCCAGGAACUGCACUUCCUUUACCCAUCAAAUCCUUUAAGGAUCCUUUGGUCUCAGCCUGAAUUAUGGGAUUCUGCUUUGACCCUCAAGAGUAAUGUCCAAGUCCUGUGUCACUGUUUAGAAGUUUAAAGACACCAGUUUAAACAAGAAGAGCAAUGAAUAACUGAGGAAGAAAUGUAAAGGAGGUGCUUUCCAGGUGAGUAAGAAGGAACCCAGAAGGAUGAAUGGGAUAAAGGUUCAUUAAGUUAUUUUUUUAUGAUGUAUCUUUUUUUUUUAAAUGUUUAUUUGUUUUUGAAAGAGAGAGUGUGCACAUGGGGAGGGCAGAGAGAGGGAGACAGAGGAUCCAAAGCAGUUCCACACGGACAGCAGAGAGCCUGAUGUGAGGCUUGAACUCAAACCAGAGAUCAUGACCUAAGCCAAGGUCAGAUGCUUAACCACCCAGGCACCCCUCUUAUAGUUACUCAAACUGCGACCUCUGAAAAAAUUUUUGAGGCAAGUUUUUUUAUAAGCCCAUUGGAGUAACAGUUGCUGGGAAUUCUUUAGAUACCUAAAUAACAUUUCCAGAUUCUCUUGCUUGAUCAUGCUCUUUUUUUUUCUCAGAUUCUGGGGGACUGCUUGCCCCUGUAACCUCUAUUCUGGAUGCUAGCCUCUUUACUUCAUUUGCAGUCUCAAUUUUAUAAAUUGUCUAGCCUAAAUAUUGUGUUUUCCCUUU